This 644-nucleotide ribosomal RNA is filed under the name uncultured Actinomycetes bacterium. RNAcentral describes it as "bacterial SSU rRNA". It matches the Rfam family "Bacterial small subunit ribosomal RNA", at positions 232 to 885 of the family's 1533-position model. Lineage: Bacteria; Bacillati; Actinomycetota; Actinomycetes. The record is from RNAcentral.
CGCGGCCUAUCAGCUUGUUGGUGAGGUAACGGCUCACCAAGGCGACGACGGGUAGCCGGCCUGAGAGGGUGACCGGCCACACUGGGACUGAGACACGGCCCAGACUCCUACGGGAGGCAGCAGUGGGGAAUAUUGCACAAUGGGCGCAAGCCUGAUGCAGCGACGCCGCGUGAGGGAUGACGGCCUUCGGGUUGUAAACCUCUGUUAGCAGGGAAGAAGAGAGAUUGACGGUACCUGCAGAGAAAGCGCCGGCUAACUACGUGCCAGCAGCCGCGGUAAUACGUAGGGCGCGAGCGUUGUCCGGAAUUAUUGGGCGUAAAGAGCUUGUAGGCGGUUUGUCGCGUCUGCUGUGAAAGGCCGGGGCUUAACUCCGUGUAUUGCAGUGGGUACGGGCAGACUAGAGUGCAGUAGGGGAGACUGGAAUUCCUGGUGUAGCGGUGGAAUGCGCAGAUAUCAGGAGGAACACCGAUGGCGAAGGCAGGUCUCUGGGCUGUAACUGACGCUGAGAAGCGAAAGCAUGGGGAGCGAACAGGAUUAGAUACCCUGGUAGUCCAUGCCGUAAACGUUGGGCACUAGGUGUGGGGGACAUUCCACGUUUUCCGCGCCGUAGCUAACGCAUUAAGUGCCCCGCCUGGGGAGUACGG